This 107-nucleotide ribosomal RNA is filed under the name Allovahlkampfia sp. RNAcentral's name for it is "partial small subunit ribosomal RNA". It matches the Rfam family "Eukaryotic small subunit ribosomal RNA", at positions 1678 to 1802 of the family's 1831-position model. Lineage: Eukaryota; Heterolobosea; Eutetramitea; Acrasida; Acrasidae. The record is from RNAcentral.
GCUCCUACCGAUGGAACAAAAAGGUGAAUUUGACAGACUUGAGCUUUGGCUUGGGGAAAUUAACUGAACCUUUUUGUUUGUAGGAAAGAGAAGUCGUAACAAGGUCU